UGAGGAAUAUUGGUCAAUGGACGCAAGUCUGAACCAGCCAAGUAGCGUGCAGGAUGACGGCCCUAUGGGUUGUAAACUGCUUUUAUAUGGGGAUAAAGUGGGGAACGUGUUCCCUUUUGCAGGUACCAUAUGAAUAAGGACCGGCUAAUUCCGUGCCAGCAGCCGCGGUAAUACGGAAGGUUCGGGCGUUAUCCGGAUUUAUUGGGUUCAAAGGGAGCGUAGGCCGUUUGGUAAGCGUGUUGUGAAAUGUAGGAGCUCAACUUCUAGAUUGCAGCGCGAACUGUCAGACUUGAGUGCGCACAACGUAGGCGGAAUUCAUGGUGUAGCGGUGAAAUGCUUAGAUAUCAUGAAGAACUCCGAUUGCGAAGGCAGCUUACGGGAGCGCAACUGACGCUGAAGCUCGAAGGUGCGGGUAUCGAACAGG
This 424-nucleotide ribosomal RNA is filed under the name Verrucomicrobiota bacterium. RNAcentral's name for it is "Verrucomicrobia bacterium partial 16S ribosomal RNA". It matches the Rfam family "Bacterial small subunit ribosomal RNA", at positions 355 to 776 of the family's 1533-position model. The record is from RNAcentral. Lineage: Bacteria; Pseudomonadati; Verrucomicrobiota.